UCGCCAUGGGACCAAAGUGUCCAAUCAGGAUGAAGAAAAAAUGAGAAUGUACAAUAAAGUUUGUGGUUGUCACAAGAAGUGGAAAAGGUCAAGCAUUUUCAAUCCAAGCAUCUUAUGCCAGGCAUAAGGCUCAAAGAAAUCCUAAAUCGUGUAUAGAAGCUUCAUCUUGUAAAGACAGCAACUUCUCAUGGGGCUAUGUGGGGGUGUGAACAUGUUAAUUUGUUCUCAGAAACACCACUACUAUGAAACAACUGACACCUGGAAACGCAGAGCCUCCAAACUUCGACAAAAAAGCAGGAAAAUGCUCCAAAAAUGAGCCCACUCUGUAAAUACAAAAGUCCUUC
Long non-coding RNA from Girardinichthys multiradiatus, 344 nucleotides. RefSeq lists it as uncharacterized. Lineage: Eukaryota; Metazoa; Chordata; Actinopteri; Cyprinodontiformes; Goodeidae. The record is from RefSeq and is a predicted model, not a curated record. The transcript is spliced from 3 exons.